GCUGGCGGCGUGCCUAUCAUGCAAGUCGAGCGGAACCUUUGGAGCUUGCUCCAUUGGUUUAGCGGCGGACGGGUGAGUAACACGUGGGCAACCUGCCCUGCAGAUCGGGAUAACUCCGGGAAACCGGUGCUAAUACCGAAUAGUUUGCGGCCUCUCCUGAGGCUGCACGGAAAGACGGUUUCGGCUGUCACUGCAGGAUGGGCCCGCGGCGCAUUAGCUAGUUGGUGGGGUAAUGGCCCACCAAGGCCACGAUGCGUAGCCGACCUGAGAGGGUGAUCGGCCACACUGGGACUGAGACACGGCCCAGACUCCUACGGGAGGCAGCAGUAGGGAAUCUUCCGCAAUGGACGCAAGUCUGACGGAGCAACGCCGCGUGAGUGACGAAGGUUUUCGGAUCGUAAAACUCUGUUGUGAGGGAAGAACACGUACCAGGUAACUACUGGUACCUUGACGGUACCUCACCAGAAAGCCACGGCUAACUACGUGCCAGCAGCCGCGGUAAU
RNAcentral lists this ribosomal RNA (503 nucleotides) under uncultured bacterium. RNAcentral describes it as "bacterial SSU rRNA". It matches the Rfam family "Bacterial small subunit ribosomal RNA", at positions 35 to 524 of the family's 1533-position model. The record is from RNAcentral.